UACGUAGGGGGCUAGCGUUGUCCGGAUUUAUUGGGCGUAAAGAGCGUGUAGGCGGCCAGGUAGGUCUGCUGUGAAAACUCGAGGCUCAACCUCGAGACGUCGGCGGAAACCAUCUGGCUAGAGUCCGGAAGAGGAGAGUGGAAUUCCUGGUGUAGCGGUGAAAUGCGCAGAUAUCAGGAAGAACACCGAUGGCGAAGGCAGGUCUCUGGGCCACUACUGACGCUGAGAAGCGAAAGCUAGGGGAGCGAACAGG
Molecule: ribosomal RNA, 253 nt
Filed under: uncultured bacterium
Lineage: Bacteria
Description: partial 16S ribosomal RNA
Rfam family: Bacterial small subunit ribosomal RNA
Source: RNAcentral